RNAcentral lists this ribosomal RNA (460 nucleotides) under uncultured bacterium. RNAcentral describes it as "partial 16S ribosomal RNA". It matches the Rfam family "Bacterial small subunit ribosomal RNA", at positions 338 to 795 of the family's 1533-position model. The record is from RNAcentral.
CCUACGGGAGGCAGCAGUGAGGAAUAUUGGUCAAUGGACGAAAGUCUGAAGCAGCCAAGUAGCGUGAAGGAUGACUGCCCUAUGGUUUGUAAACUUCUUUUAUAGGGGAAUAAAAUGUUCCACGUGUGGGAUUUUGUAUCUCCCAUAUUAAUAAGGAUCGACUAACUACGUGCCAGCAGCCGCGGUAAUACGGAGGACCCGAGCGUUAUCCGGAUUGAGUGGGUGUAAAGGGAGCGUAGGUGGAUUGUUAAGACAGUUGUGAAAGCUUGCGGCUCAACCGUAAAAUUGCAGUUGAAACUGGCAGUCUUGAGUACAGUAGAGGAGGGCGGAAUUCGUGGUGUAGCGGUGAAAUGCUUAGAUAUCACGAAGAACUCCGGUUGCGAAGGCAGUUCACUGGACUGAAACUGACACUGAGGCUCGAAAGCGUGGGGAUCAAACAGGAUUAGAUACCCGAGUAGUC